This 458-nucleotide ribosomal RNA is filed under the name uncultured bacterium. RNAcentral describes it as "partial 16S ribosomal RNA". It matches the Rfam family "Bacterial small subunit ribosomal RNA", at positions 338 to 795 of the family's 1533-position model. The record is from RNAcentral.
CCUACGGGGGGCAGCAGUGAGGAAUAUUGGUCAAUGGGCGAGAGCCUGAACCAGCCAAGUCGCGUGAGGGAGUACUGCCCUAUGGGUUGUAAACCUCUUUUGUCGGGGAGCAAAAGCCGGACGUGUCCGGCUGUGAGAGUACCCGAAGAAAAAGCAUCGGCUAACUCCGUGCCAGCAGCCGCGGUAAUACGGAGGAUGCGAGCGUUAUCCGGAUUUAUUGGGUGAAAAGGGUGCGCAGGCGGAUUGUUAAGUCAGCGGGAAAAUCGUGGGGCUCAACCCCAUCCAGCCGUUGAAACUGGGGGUCUGGAGUGUGCGAGAGGUAUGCGGAAUGCGUGGUGUAGCGGUGAAAUGCAUAGAUAUCACGCAGAACCCCGAUUGCGAAGGCAGCAUACCGGUGCACAACUGACGCUCAGGCACGAAAGCGUGGGUAUCGAACAGGAUUAGAUACCCUAGUAGUC